ACCUGGCUGGCUCAGUCGGUAGAGCAUGUGACUCCUGACCUCAGGGUUGUGAGUUCAAGCCCCACGUUGGGCG
RNAcentral lists this transfer RNA (73 nucleotides) under Ursus americanus (American black bear). It matches the Rfam family "tRNA". Rfam says of the family: Transfer RNA (tRNA) molecules are approximately 80 nucleotides in length. RNAcentral also lists the same sequence under 1 other name. Lineage: Eukaryota; Metazoa; Chordata; Mammalia; Carnivora; Ursidae. The record is from Rfam by way of RNAcentral.